GACGAACGCUGGCGGCGUGCCUAAUACAUGCAAGUCGAACGAGAGCGACCGGUGCUUGCACUGGUCAAUCUAGUGGCGAACGGGUGAGUAACACGUGGGUAACCUGCCCAUCAGAGGGGGAUAACAUCCGGAAACGGAUGCUAAAACCGCAUAGGUCUUCGAACCGCAUGGUUUGAAGAGGAAAAGAGGCGCAAGCUUCUGCUGAUGGAUGGACCCGCGGUGCAUUAGCUAGUUGGUGAGGUAACGGCUCACCAAGGCCGUGAUGCAUAGCCGACCUGAGAGGGUGAUCGGCCACAUUGGGACUGAGACACGGCCCAAACUCCUACGGGAGGCAGCAGUAGGGAAUCUUCUGCAAUGGACGCAAGUCUGACGGAGCAACGCCGCGUGAGUGAAGAAGGUUUUCGGAUCGUAAAACUCUGUUGUUAGAGAAGAACAAGUGCUAGAGUAACUGUUAGCGCCUUGACGGUAUCUAACCAGAAAGCCACGGCUAACUACGUG
RNAcentral lists this ribosomal RNA (498 nucleotides) under uncultured bacterium. RNAcentral's name for it is "partial 16S ribosomal RNA". It matches the Rfam family "Bacterial small subunit ribosomal RNA", at positions 28 to 507 of the family's 1533-position model. The record is from RNAcentral.